Ribosomal RNA from Odoribacter splanchnicus DSM 20712, 2889 nucleotides. It matches the Rfam family "Bacterial large subunit ribosomal RNA". The record is from Rfam. NCBI's taxonomy places the organism in Bacteria, Pseudomonadati, Bacteroidota, Bacteroidia, Bacteroidales, Odoribacteraceae.
GAGUAAAUAAUUAAGGGCGUAUGGUGGAUGCCUAGGCUCUCAGAGGCGAAGAAGGACGUGAUAAGCUGCGAAAAGCUCCGUUUAGGUGCAAAUAACCUUUGAUGCGGAGAUCUCCGAAUGGGAUAACCCAAUAUGUUGAAGACAUAUUAUACCGUAAGGUAGGCAAACGCAGGGAACUGAAACAUCUAAGUACCUGCAGGAGAAGAAAACAAACGUGAUUCCCCCAGUAGCGGCGAGCGACCGGGGAAAAGCCCAAACCGUUAUUGUUUCGGCAUUAACGGGGUAGUAGGACUGCAAGCUUGAUGAAAUAAAUGAAAUGGAACACCUUGGAAAAUGUGAUCACAGAGGGUGAUAAUCCCGUACAUGCAAGUUUAUGAAUCAUAGCAGACUCCUGAGUAAGUCGGGACACGUGUAAUCCUGACCGAAUCCGCCGGGACCAUCCGGCAAGGCUAAAUACUCCUGAGAGACCGAUAGUGAACCAGUACCGUGAGGGAAAGGUGAAAAGCACUUCGAACAGAAGAGUGAAAUAGUCCCUGAACCCAUACGCCUACAAGCAGUCGGAGCCGCUUCGUGCGGUGACGGCGUGCCUUUUGCAUAAUGAGCCUACGAGUUACUCAUCACCAGCGAGGUUAAGUACUUCAGGUACGUAAGCCGAAGCGAAAGCGAGUCUGAAUAGGGCGUCAAGUUGGUGGUGGUAGACGCGAAACCUUAGUGAUCUACCCAUGGGCAGGGUGAAGGUUUGGUAACACAAACUGGAGGCCCGAACCGGUAAACGUUGAAAAGUUUUCGGAUGACCUGUGGGUAGGGGUGAAAGGCCAAUCAAAACUGGGAAAUAGCUCGUACUCUCCGAAAUGCAUUUAGGUGCAGCCUCUGUUGUUUUGUUCUAGAGGUAGAGCUACUGAUUGGAUGCGAGGGCUUCACCGCCUAUCAAAUCCGGCCAAACUCCGAAUGCUAGAACAUGAAGACAGGGAGUGAGCCAGCGGGUGCUAAGGUCCGUUGACGAAAGAGGGAGAACUCAGACCAUCAGCUAAGGUCCCCAAUUAUAUGCUAAGUUGGAAUUAAAACGGGGUGGGACUGCUUAGACAGCUAGGAUGUUGGCUUGGAAGCAGCCAUUCAUUUAAAGAGUGCGUAACAGCUCACUAGUCGAGCGGUCCUGCAUGGAUAAUACGCGGGCAUAAGCAUAUAACCGAAGCUAUGGGAUUGUAGAUGAUACAAUCGGUAGGAGAGCAUUCCAUUCAGCGUAGAAGCAGUAUCGUGAGGUAUUGUGGAGCGGAUGGAAAAGCAAAUGUAGGCAUAAGUAACGAUAAUGCGGGUGAGAACCCCGCACGCCGAAAGAUCAAGGAUUCCCCGGCAAUGUCAAUCAUCCGGGGGUAAUCGGAUCCUAAGGGUAAGCCGAGUGGCGAUCCCGAUGGCAAACAGGUUAAUAUUCCUGUACUGAUCAUAACUGCGAUGCAGCGACGCAGAGGUGACACUGCUGCGUACUGACGGAAUAGUACGUUGAAACCCGUAUUCUUUGAUACCGGUAGUGAAGCACGCCGGUAGAGAUGAAAGGUGAUAGUACCGCAAUGCUUCGGUUGCGCGGAUAACGCAGGUAAGCUGACUGCCAAGAAAACCUGCUAAGCUUCAGGUAAUGAUCAUCCGUACUGUAAACGGACACACGUGAUCAGGUAGAAAAUACUAAGGCGCUCGAGAGAUUCAUGGUUAAGGAACUAGGCAAAAUGGUCCUGUAACUUCGGGAUAAAGGACGCUCUUGUGAAAGAGCCGCAGAUAAUAGGCCCAGGCGACUGUUUACCAAAAACACAUGGCUAUGCUAAUUCGCAAGAAGAUGUAUAUGGCCUGACACCUGCCCGGUGCCGGAAGGUUAAGAGGAGAGCUCAGAGGCAACUCGAAGGUUUGAAUUGAAGCCCCGGUAAACGGCGGCCGUAACUAUAACGGUCCUAAGGUAGCGAAAUUCCUUGUCGGGUAAGUUCCGACCUGCACGAAUGGUGUAACGAUCUGGGUACUGUCUCAACCAUGAGCUCGGUGAAAUUGUAGUUCCGGUGAAGAUGCCGGAUACCCGCAACGGGACGGAAAGACCCCGUGAACCUUUACUGCAGCUUUGCAUUGAUUUUGGGUAACAGAUGUGUAGGAUAGGUCGGAGGCUUUGAUGCUGCGUCGUCAGGCGUAGAGUAGCCGUCGUUGAAAUACGACCCUUUGUUAUCUGAGGUCUAAUCCCGUUAGGGAGACAUUGCAUGGUGGGUAGUUUGACUGGGGUGGUCGCCUCCAAAAGUGUAACGGAGGCUUCUCAAGGUACCCUCAAGGCGUUUGGUAAUCGUCUGCAGAGUGCAAUGGCAUAAGGGUGCUUGACUGUGAGACCGACACGUCGAUCAGGUUGGAAACAAGAGCAUAGUGAUCCGGUGGUUCCGCAUGGAAGGGCCAUCGCUCAAAGGAUAAAACGGUACUCCGGGGAUAACAGGCUGAUCGCUCCCAAGAGCUCAUAUCGACGGAGCGGUUCGGCACCUCGAUGUCGGCUCGUCACAUCCUGGGGCUGGAGAAGGUCCCCAAGGGUUCGGCUGUUCGCCGAUUAAAGUGGCACGCGAGCUGGGUUCAGAACGUCGUGAGACAGUUCGGUCCCUAUCUGUUGUGGGCGCAGGAUAUUUGAGGAGCUCUGACUCUAGUACGAGAGGACCGGGUUGGACGAUACCUCUCGGUGAAUCAGUUGUGUCGCCAGAUGCACUGCUGAGUAGCUAUGUAUGGAUUGGAUAAGCGCUGAAAGCAUCUAAGCGCGAAGCCAGCUUCAAGAUGAGAUAUCCUUACAGGGUCGUUCGAGAUGAGAACGUUGAUAGGUUGCAGGUGUAUAGUCGGUGACGGCACAGCCGAGCAAUACUAAUUACCCGAAUGUUUACUUUA